AGCCAGACUCCUACGGGAGGCAGCAGUGGGGAAUAUUGCACAAUGGGGGGAACCCUGAUGCAGCGACGCCGCGUGAGCGAAGAAGUAUUUCGGUAUGUAAAGCUCUAUCAGCAGGGAAGAAAAUGACGGUACCUGACUAAGAAGCCCCGGCUAACUACGUGCCAGCAGCCGCGGUAAUACGUAGGGGGCAAGCGUUAUCCGGAUUUACUGGGUGUAAAGGGAGCGCAGGCGGCGCGGUAAGUCUGAUGUGAAAGCCCGGGGCUCAACCCCGGGACUGCAUUGGAAACUGUCGUGCUGGAGUGUCGGAGGGGCAAGUGGAAUUCCUAGUGUAGCGGUGAAAUGCGUAGAUAUUAGGAGGAACACCAGUGGCGAAGGCGGCUUACUGGACUGUAACUGACACUGAGGCUCGAAAGCGUGGGGAGCAAACAGGAUUAGAUACCCGGGUAC
This 447-nucleotide ribosomal RNA is filed under the name uncultured bacterium. Its description in RNAcentral is "bacterial SSU rRNA". It matches the Rfam family "Bacterial small subunit ribosomal RNA", at positions 329 to 793 of the family's 1533-position model. The record is from RNAcentral.